UACGGAGGAUGCGAGCGUUAUCCGGAUUUAUUGGGUUUAAAGGGUGCGUAGGCGGAUCGUUAAGUCAGUGGUCAAAUUGAGGGGCUCAACCCCUUCCCGCCAUUGAAACUGGCGAUCUUGAGUGGAAGGGAAGUAUGCGGAAUGCGUGGUGUAGCGGUGAAAUGCAUAGAUAUCACGCAGAACCCCGAUUGCGAAGGCAGCAUGCCGGCUUCCGACUGACGCUGAAGCACGAAAGCGUGGGGAUCGAACAGG
RNAcentral lists this ribosomal RNA (252 nucleotides) under uncultured bacterium. RNAcentral describes it as "partial 16S ribosomal RNA". It matches the Rfam family "Bacterial small subunit ribosomal RNA", at positions 524 to 776 of the family's 1533-position model. The record is from RNAcentral.